This 698-nucleotide long non-coding RNA is filed under the name Homo sapiens (human). Its description in RNAcentral is "HSALNT0042873". Lineage: Eukaryota; Metazoa; Chordata; Mammalia; Primates; Hominidae. The record is from RNAcentral.
AAGAACAGCCAGGUCUAGUUCUCCAAGGGGGAAUGAGUGGCUUUGGAAAUUCUUCCUCUUACCUUGUUUUGUCCUCUUCGGCACGUUCGCUGCUCACAUCCAAUGCUGCUGCAACGACAAGCAAAAAAACAGAAUCAUGACAGCCACCUGACACCCGAGGCCCUGCCGCCAGCCUGCUGGGGCCGCCUGAGGUACCAGGGUCCAGGCAUUAUUUUUCACUCCCUGUGCUCCUGGCAGAGGAGGAAGGGCCUUACCUGCCAUUGUUCCACCUGACCGAAGAUGAGACUAAACCAGGGGAAAUCCUGCUCCCAGGAAAAAGGACUGGGAGAGAUGAAUAAUUAAUAAUGCCCCAGAACUUGAAGCGGAACGGAAGUUCCAUCUGCAGCUUCCUAAUCACAGCAUUAGCAACCUCAGAUCUGAUCCUGCUCUUGAUACAGUGCGUCCAAGAGAGUGCUUCAAGCCAAGAGAAGAUGGGUUUGUGGUCGUGAGAAAUGAAGGAGCCCUCCUAGGAUGGGAAGAGACCACAUCUGGAAUGCACAGUGCUUGGCAUGGGAAAGGUACGCUCACAAUAGUCAUGGUUAGGGUAUCCGCAUAAUCUUAAAGUGAUCCCCACAUAUUAUUAGUUUCUUAUUAGUUGUGAGGGAGAAAAAAACCAAAACGGUAAUGAGACCAAGUAGAAACCGUGUAACACUUUUUGA